RNAcentral lists this ribosomal RNA (426 nucleotides) under uncultured bacterium. RNAcentral's name for it is "bacterial SSU rRNA". It matches the Rfam family "Bacterial small subunit ribosomal RNA", at positions 354 to 796 of the family's 1533-position model. The record is from RNAcentral.
GUAGGGAAUAUUGCGCAAUGGGGGAAACCCUGACGCAGCAACGCCGCGUGGAGGAUGACACUUUUCGGAGCGUAAACUCCUUUUGUUAGGGAAGAAUAAUGACGGUACCUAACGAAUAAGCACCGGCUAACUCCGUGCCAGCAGCCGCGGUAAUACGGAGGGUGCAAGCGUUACUCGGAAUCACUGGGCGUAAAGGACGCGUAGGCGGAUUAUCAAGUCUCUUGUGAAAUCUAACGGCUUAACCGUUAAACUGCUUGGGAAACUGAUAAUCUAGAGUAAGGGAGAGGCAGAUGGAAUUCUUGGUGUAGGGGUAAAAUCCGUAGAUAUCAAGAAGAAUACCUAUUGCGAAGGCGAUCUGCUGGAACUUAACUGACGCUAAUGCGUGAAAGCGUGGGGAGCAAACAGGAUUAGAAACCCCAGUAGUCC